RNAcentral lists this ribosomal RNA (537 nucleotides) under uncultured bacterium. RNAcentral's name for it is "partial 16S ribosomal RNA". The record is from RNAcentral.
CCGUCAAUUCCUUUGAGUUUUAGUCUUGCGACCGUACUUCCCAGGCGGAGCACUUAACGCGUUUGCUACGGCACAGAAGGUAUUACACCUCCCACACCUAGUGCUCACCGUUUACAGCGUGGACUACCAGGGUAUCUAAUCCUGUUUGCUCCCCACGCUUUCGCGCCUCAGCGUCAGUAUCAGACCAGGAAACCGCCUUCGCCACUGGUGUUCCUCCCGAUAUCUACGAAUUUCACCUCUACACCGGGAAUUCCGUUUCCCUCUUCUGUACUCGAGUCAUGCAGUUUCAGAUGCAGUUCCCCGGUUAAGCCGGGGGAUUUCACAACUGACUUGCACAACCGCCUGCGCGCCCUUUACGCCCAGUAAUUCCGAACAACGCUUGCACCCUCCGUAUUACCGCGGCUGCUGGCACGGAGUUAGCCGGUGCMUCUUCCUGCGGUACCGUCAAAUCCCGCGAGUAUUAGUCGCGAGACUGUUCGUUCCGCACGAAAGGGCUUUACAACCCGAAGGCCUUCMUCACCCACGCGGCGUCGCUGG